UCUCCUCAAGGACAAUUUCCCCAACCUUUUUGGAACCAAGGCCCCGGCCCUCUGCUGACAAGGUUCCCUAGUACAGCCUCCACUUCCCCCAAGCCCCUACUCCUGAUUUCUCAGAUUUCCUUCCCUGAAAUCGGGGAGCUCCAUCCUGGAAUGGGAGCUGUCCACACUGCGAGGAAGUGCGCCUCCUCCAUGGCUUCCCCUGUUCUGAAGAUGGCCUGGUCUCCUUGGACGGAGCCUGCUCCAGUUCCUGUUUGCUCAAGUGUAGUCCUGCUGCAAUGUCUGCAGUCAGCCUAUUCUGACUGUAGGAGGACGGGGGACUGAGGGCAGUCUGGGCAGUUCCAGACUCCUACCCUGCCCUAGUGCCUAGCUAUGGAAACAUCCUGUCCCAGCCCAGUUAAAGACAGAAAUACUGUGAUAAAUUUGGAAAUGUCAUCUGGUCUUGCCAAAGGGGAGAGAUUCCUGGUUCUAGGGUACUCCUCACAGACCCUCAGUCUCCUCUAGAGGUGUUCUGGGUGAGAAAAAUCUAAAAACUGUGUCAUGCUCAAUUCAGCCUUUUGAGUGCCGGGGUCUCUUUGGAGACUUUUUGGGGAAGCCCUGUCUCUUUGUCGAGGCCUAUGGAGCCUCUGCUUCCGCCAGGGUCAGUGGGGCUGGGGGGUUGGGAAGGAAAGAAAGGCCCCUUCUUUCUUGGAUCACUUCCUCUGUUUUCUUCCGGCAUACCCCUAGUCUCAGUUCCUCCGACGCUGCAAAUUUCUGUCUCAUUUUCAUUCAUCCCGGUGUUUGCCAUUCUUCCUCAAAACUUUCCCUUCCUGUCGCUAGAGCUGUGUUUCCCGGCCCCACCCACCCACACACCUGCCUCCUGAAGGACUUUGCUGACCCCUAUAUUUUUCUGAUACUAUAAUGGAAGCUUCUUAAGGGGCUGGGGAUUUAGCUCAGUGGUAGAGCGCUUACCUAGGAAGCGCAAGGCCCUGGGUUCGGUCCCCAGCUCCG
RNAcentral lists this long non-coding RNA (987 nucleotides) under Rattus norvegicus (Norway rat). Its description in RNAcentral is "long non-coding RNA NONRATT028051". Lineage: Eukaryota; Metazoa; Chordata; Mammalia; Rodentia; Muridae. The record is from RNAcentral.